CAAAUUGCGGUGAAUACGUUCCCGGGUCUUGUACACACCGCCCGUCAAACCAUGAAGGUGACCAACACCCGAAGUCCGAUUCGUCGGCCUAAGGUGGGGGGCAUGAUUGGGGUU
RNAcentral lists this ribosomal RNA (114 nucleotides) under uncultured bacterium. RNAcentral describes it as "partial 16S ribosomal RNA". It matches the Rfam family "Bacterial small subunit ribosomal RNA", at positions 1353 to 1482 of the family's 1533-position model. The record is from RNAcentral.